ACGCGCAGAACCUUACCAACCCUUGACAUCCUGUGCCACUACCAGAGAUGGUACGUUCCCUUCGGGGACGCAGUGACAGGUGCUGCAUGGCUGUCGUCAGCUCGUGUCGUGAGAUGUUCGGUUAAGUCCGGCAACGAGCGCAACCCACAUCUUUAGUUGCCAGCAGGUUAAGCUGGGCACUCUAGAGAAACUGCCCGUGAUAAGCGGGAGGAAGGUGUGGAUGACGUCAAGUCCUCAUGGCCCUUACGGGUUGGGCUACACACGUGCUACAAUGGCAGUGACAAUGGGUUAAUCCCCAAAAGCUGUCUCAGUUCGGAUUGGGGUCUGCAACUCGACCCCAUGAAGUCGGAAUCGCUAGUAAUCGCGUAACAGCAUGACGCGGUGAAUACGUUCCCGGGCCUUGUACACACCGCCCGUCACACCAUGGGAGUUGGUUCUACCCGACGACGCUGCGCUAACCCUUCGGG
This 467-nucleotide ribosomal RNA is filed under the name uncultured bacterium. Its description in RNAcentral is "bacterial SSU rRNA". It matches the Rfam family "Bacterial small subunit ribosomal RNA", at positions 959 to 1447 of the family's 1533-position model. The record is from RNAcentral.